RNAcentral lists this long non-coding RNA (592 nucleotides) under Salvator merianae (Argentine black and white tegu). RNAcentral's name for it is "lncRNA (ENSSMRG00000018316.1)". Lineage: Eukaryota; Metazoa; Chordata; Lepidosauria; Squamata; Teiidae. The record is from RNAcentral.
GCAAGAGAAGAAUUCCACAGCGUCAAUCCCCUUGUUGAUUCAGUCUGCUUCCUUCAAUUAUUUAACAGGAAACUCUUGGACAAUCAACACAUGCAGACAAACUUCUCUUGUUCAUUUUUCCCCCGGCCCCAGAAUGGACAGAACUAAAGUAUAGGGAGCAGAGGAUUAACAAGUAGGAGACACCAUGCCGACUUUAAAAUUUCUUAUACUUUUGUGGAUAUGUGAUCAUGGUCUCAGUCAAGUUUCCACAGGUAUGCCUAAUUUGGAGCCAGAUUUACCCACUACUCCUUCCCCUCCAGAAGAGAAAUCAGCCCUUACAGUGGCAGCAUUAGGUGUUAUUAGCUUCAUUGUCAUUCUGGUCGUGAUUGUAAUUAUUCUGGUCAGUGUGGUCAGCCUAAGAUUCAAGUGCCGUCGCUGCAAAGAAGUUGAAGAUAAACAGAAACCUCAACAUGCAAUGGUAACUUACAGCUGUUCUGAUGCUGAAGCUACUGCUUGUAAGAAAAAUGUCAUGUUGGUUUCCAUGAAGGACUUAAAUGCAGGCAACAGCAACAGCCAGGGCGUUGCAAAGGCAAUGAUUACACACAUAGAGUAA